This 244-nucleotide long non-coding RNA is filed under the name Lathyrus oleraceus (garden pea). RNAcentral's name for it is "Pisum sativum (pea) long non-coding RNA (PSAT_LNC010564)". Lineage: Eukaryota; Viridiplantae; Streptophyta; Magnoliopsida; Fabales; Fabaceae. The record is from RNAcentral.
GUGAAUCUGAUUGAAGAUCCUCUAAAGGUUUAUAUGCCUUCAAGAUUUUGCGCUCAAGUUUUGAAGAUUCUGAAGAACAAGAUCUCAAGACUCUGAAGACCAGAUUUUGAGGAACUAUGUCAAGACUCUAAAGACCAAGGUUUUGAAGAUUCUAUCAUCUUGUCUCUUGAUCCUUCUAAGCAUGCUUCAACAUCAUUUCAUCAGAAGCCUCUAAAGAUUUGAAGAUAAGAUCAAAAGGUUUUGC